UCCGAGUUGACCCCGGCAGUCUCCUACGAGUCCCCACCAUUACGUGCUGGCAACUAAAGACGAGGGUUGCGCUCGUUGCGGGACUUAACCCAACAUCUCACGACACGAGCUGACGACAGCCAUGCAGCACCUGUCACUCAUCCAGCCGAACUGAAGGAAUCCAUCUCUGGAAUCCGCGAUGAGGAUGUCAAACGCUGGUAAGGUUCUUCGCGUUGCAUCGAAUUAAGCCACAUGCUCCACCGCUUGUGCGGGCCCCCGCCAAUUCCUUUGAGUUUCAAUCUUGCGGCCGUAAUCCCCAGGCGGUUCACUUAAUGCGUUAGCUGCGGCACCGAGGGAGACCCCCCAACACCUAGUGAACAUCGUUUAUGGCCAAGACUAC
RNAcentral lists this unclassified non-coding RNA (379 nucleotides) under uncultured bacterium. RNAcentral describes it as "contains 16S-23S intergenic spacer region". The record is from RNAcentral.